This 1156-nucleotide unclassified non-coding RNA is filed under the name Hevea brasiliensis (rubber tree). The record is from RNAcentral. Lineage: Eukaryota; Viridiplantae; Streptophyta; Magnoliopsida; Malpighiales; Euphorbiaceae.
UAAGUCUAUGCGAAGGCACAGGUGCAACAAUGUCUGAUGAUGAUGAUGACCAGGCAGACAGUGACGCCAACUUGUAUGAUGGAAGUCUGGAUGGGCCAGAUUGCAUGGGAUUUGGUCCUCUUGUCCUCACUGAAAGUGAGAGGUCAUUGAUGGAGCAUGUAAGGAAAGAAUUAAAGCAUUCACUGAAACAGGGUUACAAAGAGAAGAUUGUGGACAUUAGAGAAGAAAUUCUACGCAAGAGAAGGGCUGGAAAAUUACCGGGAGAUACCACUUCUCUCUUAAAAGCUUGGUGGCAAUCACAUUCUAAAUGGCCGUAUCCAACUGUAUGCAUGAUGUGAUAUCCUAUAUAUUGGUUUGACCAUAUUUUUUCUUAAGUUCUUCGUCACUCUUGUUUGCUUCAAUUUGUUUUAGGAGGAAGACAAAGCAAGAUUAGUUCAGGAAACAGGCUUGCAGUUAAAGCAGAUAAAUAACUGGUUCAUAAACCAAAGAAAAAGAAACUGGCAUAGCAACCCUUCAGGAUCUACUACGAAGAGCAAGCGCAAGAAGUAAGUGGAUUAUUGUCGUAUGUUUUUCUUUUAUUCAAAAUUUGUUCAAACCUUUUGCCAAUUAUAAUUGGGGAAACAAGCAAUGCAGGUGAAAGCAGUGAUGAAUAAAUGGAAAAAUUUGGCGGAAGACUACAGUUUUUCCUGUCCUCGAGUUAACUGGAGAAUUUCAUCAUUUGAGCUUCAGAGCACUAUAGGGGCCACUGCAAUGAGAAAGAAUCAAUGUAUAAGAGUAGCUUAAAAAUUCUGUUUGGAUUUCCCUCACUUGCCCAUACGGUAAAGUUAAAGCCUAGUAAAAGAGGCUGCUAUUCGUAGAGAUGGAUUAAACUCAGCUCACCUAUUAAGUCCAGUUGACAGGUAUGUGGUUGAAGACCUGCUGAUGCAUAUAAAUAUCCUAGUUUUUAAACUAUAAGCACAUGAGAUUGUUUGGACAGCUUAUUUUUGUGCCACUGGCCUGUAAUUUUGUAGUAUUUGGUUUGUGCUCCUUUAUCUGUGAUGAGAAUGGCUAUUAAGUUCUUGGUUUAUAAUGUAAUUAUCUCUGUUUUAUAAUUUGAACUGUCUGAUCACAACGUGUGGAGAGAAUUGAUGUUUCCCUGUUUAGUUUUCUUUUUUAU